CCUACGGGUGGCAGCAGUGAGGAAUAUUGGUCAAUGGGCGCGAGCCUGAACCAGCCAAGUCGCGUGAAGGAUGACUGCCCUACGGGUUGUAAACUUCUUUUAUAUGGGAAUACAUUGAGGUACGUGUACCUUUUUGUAUGUACUUUAUGAAUAAGGAUCGGCUAACUCCGUGCCAGCAGCCGCGGUAAUACGGAGGAUCCGCGCGUUAUCCGGAUUUAUUGGGUUUAAAGGGAGCGUAGACGGGUUGUUAAGUCAGUUGUGAAAGUUUGCGGCUCAACCGUGAAAUUGCAAUUGAUACUGGCAGUCUUGAGUACAGUAGAGGUAGGCGGAAUUCGUGGUGUAGCGGUGAAAUGCUUAGAUAUCACGAAGAACCCCGAUUGCGAAGGCAGCUUACUAAACUGCCACUGACGUUGAGGCUCGAAAGUGUGGGGAUCAAACAGGAUUAGAUACCCUUGUAGUC
RNAcentral lists this ribosomal RNA (460 nucleotides) under uncultured bacterium. Its description in RNAcentral is "partial 16S ribosomal RNA". It matches the Rfam family "Bacterial small subunit ribosomal RNA", at positions 338 to 795 of the family's 1533-position model. The record is from RNAcentral.